CCUACGGGAGGCAGCAGUGAGGAAUAUUGGUCAAUGGACGCGAGCCUGAACCAGCCAAGUAGCGUGAAGGAUGACUGCCCUACGGGCUGUAAACUUCUUUUAUAAAGGAAUAAAGUGAGGCACGUGUGCCUUUUUGUAUGCACUUUAUGAAUAAGGAUCGGCUAACUCCGUGCCAGCAGCCGCGGUAAUACGGAGGAUCCGAGCGUUAUCGGGAUUUAUUGGGUUUAAAGGGAGCGUAGAUGGGUUGUUAAGUCAGUUGUGAAAGUUUGCGGCUCAACCGUAAAAUUGCAAUUGAUACUGGCAGCCUUGAGUACAGGUGAGGUAAGCGGAAUUCGUGGUGUAGCGGUGAAAUGCGUAGAUAUCACGAAGAACACCGAUUGCGAAGGCAGCUUACUAAACUGCCACUGACAUUGAUGCUCGAAAGUGUGGGUAUCAAACAGGAUUAGAUACCCGAGUAGUC
This 460-nucleotide ribosomal RNA is filed under the name uncultured bacterium. RNAcentral's name for it is "partial 16S ribosomal RNA". It matches the Rfam family "Bacterial small subunit ribosomal RNA", at positions 338 to 795 of the family's 1533-position model. The record is from RNAcentral.